This 509-nucleotide ribosomal RNA is filed under the name Ophiostoma valdivianum. RNAcentral's name for it is "eukaryotic LSU rRNA". The stretch from base 170 to 323 matches the Rfam family "5.8S ribosomal RNA". Lineage: Eukaryota; Fungi; Ascomycota; Sordariomycetes; Ophiostomatales; Ophiostomataceae. The record is from RNAcentral.
UCAUUACCGAGUUCCAGCAACUCCCAACCCUUGCGAACCGUACCCCAGUCUGUUCUCGUUGCUCCCGGCGGGCCGGGGGGGCCGCCAGGCCCCUCCCCCGCCGGGGGCGGCGGGCCACCUGAACCUCUCUCUACCACCGAACUCUGAGCAGAAAACAAAAAUGAAUCAAAACUUUCAACAACGGAUCUCUUGGCUCUGGCAUCGAUGAAGAACGCAGCGAAAUGCGAUACGUAAUGUGAAUUGCAGAAUUCAGCGAACCAUCGAAUCUUUGAACGCACAUUGCGCCUGCCAGUAUUCUGGCAGGCAUGCCUGUCCGAGCGUCAUUUCCCCCCUCACGCGCCCCGCUGCGCGCUGGUGUUGGGGCCCCUCCGCCUGGCGGAGGGCCCCGAAAGCGAGUGGCGGGCCCGGCUGGUUGGCUCCGAGCGCAGUACCGAACACCGUUCUCCCUCGCUCAGCAGCCCCGCCGGCGCCCUGCCGUGAAACACGCACGACGUGCAGACCACAAGGUU